Molecule: long non-coding RNA, 260 nt
Filed under: Sinocyclocheilus grahami
Lineage: Eukaryota; Metazoa; Chordata; Actinopteri; Cypriniformes; Cyprinidae
Description: lncRNA (ENSSGRG00000028238.1)
Source: RNAcentral
CACAGUCAGCGUCUCCUCGACACGGAAGGCUCUCUUCUCUCAUUGAUUACGGAGCUGGGCGCUAAGAGAAAGUUCACUGACUGAAGGAAUUGAUGUCCACUAUGGCUACGUUUCGCUUUGGGCAGCACAUCAUAAAGUCCUCGGCUGUGUUUUUGAAGACGGAGUUGUCCUUCGCACUAGUCAACCGAAAGCCGGUCGUGCCUGGUCGGCCGUAUCUCCAGAUGUUUACCAUACAGCGCUGCACAAGAGCUUCUCUCCGG